GAAAAAAUUAGUUUCUACGAUAUGGACGAAUCUCAUCCGAUCGUAGCUCCGGUAGCCGGAGUUGGACUAGGAGUCACCGGAGAUGUUGCUGUUGUUGUUCCUGCUGGAGGAAGUGCUGUGAGUUCGGUUGGAAGCAUGAUCGGCGGCGUCGGCGUCGGCGUCGGAGGAGGAGAGAAGAGGAAGAGAGGUAGGCCGCCACGUGGACAAGCGGGGAAGCCACCACCGCCGCCGAAGAUACAGAGAGUGGUGGUGGAGGAAGAUGAGGAAGAAGAUGUUUGUUUUAUAUGUUUUGAUGGUGGUUCUCUUGUACUAUGCGAUCGCAAGGGUUGUCCGAAGGCAUACCAUCCAGCUUGUAUUAAGCGGGACGAGGAAUUUUUCAGCUCAAAUGCUAAAUGGUUCUGUGGUUGGCAUAUUUGUAGUGUGUGUCAAAAGGCUUCUCACUAUAUGUGCUAUACUUGUACAUAUUCAUUGUGCAAGGGAUGUACUAAAAAUGCGGAUUACUUCCAU
This 507-nucleotide unclassified non-coding RNA is filed under the name Hevea brasiliensis (rubber tree). The record is from RNAcentral. Lineage: Eukaryota; Viridiplantae; Streptophyta; Magnoliopsida; Malpighiales; Euphorbiaceae.